RNAcentral lists this ribosomal RNA (1221 nucleotides) under Triticum aestivum (bread wheat). Its description in RNAcentral is "partial small subunit ribosomal RNA". The record is from RNAcentral. Lineage: Eukaryota; Viridiplantae; Streptophyta; Magnoliopsida; Poales; Poaceae.
AUGGAUACAAGUAAUCAUGCUGACGGUUACGAGUCACGUACUGAUUCGGAGGAGGAGGAGGAGAUAAUGUUUCUUGUCUUUCCGACAUUAUAUUGUAUAUCUUCUAGGAGAGAAAAGAUUCCAUACAACACAUCAAUUCUUACAGGAGCUAAGUAUAUCCGGGAAAUAUUGGAUGGCCACCCUCAACGGUGCCCUGAUAUUCUUAGGAUGGAAUCCCACAUCUUCCAAGCUCUAUGCGACCACCUUAGAUCCAAAAAUCUUCUACGAAACUCAAGAGGAGUCAGCGUUGGAGAGCAACUAGGGAUGUUUAUGUACAUGCUUUCCAGGAAUGCGAGUUAUGGUACAUUGAUUGAUAGAUUUCAGCAUAGUCCGGAAAUAGUGCAUAGACAUAUCAAUGGAUGCUUCAAUGCUAUGAUAUCAUUGGCAUUUGACCUUAUCAAGCAUAGUUCGUCAGAUACUCACUGUAAAAUAUCAACACAUCCCCAGUUUUGGCCUUUCUUCGAGAACUGCCUAGGGGCAAUAUAUGGGACUCAUGUUCCCAUGACCAUCGCAUCCAGUGAGGCUGCUCCAUAUAGGAAUAGAAAGGGGACCCUCUCCCAAAAUUUGAUGGUUGCCUGCGACUUUGAUCUCAAGGUUGUUUAUGUGUCGGCUGGUUGGGAGGGGUCUGCCUCAAAUGCUGGAGUAUUGAAAUCUUCCAUUCAAUCGGGCUUCCAUGUACCUACGGGAAAGUACUAUUUGGUUGACGGAGGCUACGCAAACACCCCACAAUUUCUAGCUCCGUACCAUGGAGUUCGUUAUCAUCUACAAGAUUUUGGUAGAGGUGGCUCUCGCCCAAAGAAUGCGAAAGAACUUUUCAAUCUAAGGCAUGCCCGUCUACGAAACCACAUAGAGCGUGCAAUUGGUGUCUGGGAAAUGCGAUUUCCUAUUUUGAAAGUUGGCAUGCAUUACCCAAUUGAUACUCAAGUCAAAAUUGCUGUGGCGGCAGCUGUAUUUCACAACAUAAUCCGAGAAUGGUUAGAUACGCAACAAAUGCAAAUUGAUCCUCUUCAUUUUGUCACUCUUCCUGAUGGAGAUGACAAACCUCGAGAUGUUCCUACAUCCUCAAGCAAUCAAAGGGACCUUGGUAAUUCCAUGAGAGAUGAAAUUGCCAACAGGAUGUGGGUGGACUAUCAAAGAAUUAGAAGACAAAAAUGUCACGGAGAUCUGUUGGCUAAUAAUUGA